UAUUGGGCCAACGAAGAUAAAAAAUAAAAAAAAAGGAAGUAGAAAUACAGUUCUUAAACAAGAAAGAAAAAGACAAAUGCAGAAUGUGCAUAAUCAUGAGGGUGCAAUGCCUUUUUGAAACUUGGGUAUGAUCAUUGUUUUCCAUGAUUUUUGUUGCUUAGCCUAGGGUACAUGUGUUGGAUACAUAUCCAUGUUCAACACAAACAUUCUCUCUUUGUAAUAAUUUCUCUAUUAUUUGGAGGAUCAUCCUGAAGUAAUAUCCAACUAGGCAUCUGACAAGCAUCGAACAACAUUGUUCAGUUAACUUAAAAAUUGUGGGAAAAUUCUCAUGUAUAUACUUAAUCAGAAAGUCGAGCUAGAAAAAAACUGUCCUCAGAUGUUCGGAUCAACACACCUAAUUAUCUAUGUAGCUUUCAAUCAUUUAGCAAAGACUAGGUAACCAAAUGUAUUCAGUUUUAAUUGUCGCAGCAACUAUUUUUAAGAGUUUCUGUUCAGGGUUUGUAUUGAAUUGCUUUAAUAAGUGAUAACAACUCAUGUAGGACU
This 543-nucleotide unclassified non-coding RNA is filed under the name Hevea brasiliensis (rubber tree). The record is from RNAcentral. Lineage: Eukaryota; Viridiplantae; Streptophyta; Magnoliopsida; Malpighiales; Euphorbiaceae.